Molecule: ribosomal RNA, 747 nt
Filed under: Geopora cooperi f. cooperi
Lineage: Eukaryota; Fungi; Ascomycota; Pezizomycetes; Pezizales; Pyronemataceae
Description: partial large subunit ribosomal RNA
Rfam family: Eukaryotic large subunit ribosomal RNA
Source: RNAcentral
GCGAGUGAAGCGGCAAAAGCUCAAAUUUGAAAUCGGUGUGCAUAAAGUACAUCGAGUUGUAAUUUGGAGGGACAACUUCGGGCCGAACCACACCGUAAGUUUUUUGGAACAGGACAUCAUAGAGGGUGAGAAUCCCGUGUCUUGGUGUAGGGUCAAACCAUGUGAAGUGUCUCCGACGAGUCGAGUUGUUUGGGAAUGCAGCUCAAAAUGGGUGGUAAAUUUCAUCUAAAGCUAAAUAUUGGCGAGAGACCGAUAGCGCACAAGUAGAGUGAUCGAAAGAUGAAAAGCACUUUGAAAAGAGAGUUAAAAAGUACGUGAAAUUGUUGAAAGGGAAGCGCUUGCGACCAGACUCGAUCUUUGGGGAUCAGCCGGGCUUCUGUUCGGUGCCCUCUCCAUUGGUUGGGCCAGCAUCGGUUCCGACGGUGGGAUAAAAGGAGGCGGAAUGUGGCUCCCCUCGGGGAGUGUUAUAGCCACCUUCACAAUGCUACCAGUUGGGACCGAGGACCGCGCUUCGGCUAGGAUGCUGGUGUAAUGGUCUUAAGCGACCCGUCUUGAAACACGGACCAAGGAGUCUAACAUCUAUGCGAGUGUUCGGGUGGAAAACCCUUGCGCGUAAUGAAAGUGAACGGAGGUGUGAACCCUUUGCGGGGUGCAACAUCGACCGGUCCUGAUGUCUUCGGAAGGAUCUGAGUAAGAGCAUAGCUGUUGGGACCCGAAAGAUGGUGAACUAUGCCUGAAUAGGGUGAA